Molecule: non-coding RNA, 114 nt
Organism: Acanthosepion pharaonis
Lineage: Eukaryota; Metazoa; Mollusca; Cephalopoda; Sepiida; Sepiidae
Source: the annotation of a GenBank genome assembly
UUACGACCAUAUCACUUUGAAACACCGGUUCCCGUAUGAUCAUCGAAGUUAAGCAACGAAGAGCCUGGUCACUACCUAGAUGGGCGACUGCUUGGGAAUACCAAGUGAUGUAAG